CUGAGACACCCAGGCCCCCAACCUGGGGGUUUUAAUAGCAGCCAGCCACGAACUUUUUCUGUCCUGGGGCAGAAUGUUCACUUCUCUCCCCUCCCUCUCUUCCUCCCUUCCUCCCUUCCUCCCUUCCUUUCUUCUUUUCCUUCUUUCGUUCAUUAUUUACUUUUCCUUCUAAGCCAAGCUUAUCAGGAUUUCAGCAAGUCACUUUGCCUCUAAGACCCUGUAAAUUGCUGAGACUUCAUAACAAGGUGUUCAUCUUAGAAGCUUACAAAC
Felis catus (domestic cat) is the source of this 270-nucleotide long non-coding RNA. It matches the Rfam family "DAOA antisense RNA 1 conserved region 2". Lineage: Eukaryota; Metazoa; Chordata; Mammalia; Carnivora; Felidae. The record is from Rfam.